GGCAGAGAAAAUGGAAGGCUGUGCGAGCUAGCUUGCUAGCUGAACGAAUCCAAUAAUAACUGGAAAGUAAUCAUUUGUAUCCAAGCUACCUAUGGAUGUCAGUAUGGACCCAAUGGAAAAUAACAGUGAUGCUAAUAAUUCAGAGGACCAGCAGAGCCAGUCAGAAGGGGCAGAGACGAGUGUUAGACCGACCAUGUCUCAGGUUAAAAAGUCUUGGGGGUUUAGGCGGACAACCAUCGCUAAAAGGGAGUUCUUGGAUGAAAUCGGAGACCUAACCCACAGUCCUCCAAUCGUACGCAGAGGCAGAGGCCGCCGAACCAACCAGACACCCCUGGCCACUCCAGAAACCCACACAACCCAGAGAGCUUCUGGUGCAACGAGGAGUGUUCUAGAUGACCUCGAGUGGUCUGCCCCAUCCUCGCCUGUAUCAGAGGAGAGCAAGCCAGCCUCAGAAGCUUCUGCAGGAGGGAGCCUUGACCCCAGCUUAUGGCAAGAUUUUGGGUCUGCCUUCCACACUGCCUUCUCACUGCUCGGCGGGAAUGAAGGCUUGCCAAUGGAAAUGUCAGAUGCGCUGACAGUCCCUGACAUUUUGGAAGCCACUGAUGCCAUCGUGACCCCUCUACAGGUUAUAGAAGAAACUGAGGGGCCUGAUAAUAUUGAAUCUGCUGAUGACAUGGAGCUCUCACAGCCUGUUGCUUCUGACAACGUGGCAGGAGGGGAAACUGAUGAUGUGGUGUUGAUUUCUAGUCAAGAGGACAGCGAUGACAUGACUCUGAUACAGAUUAAGGAGCAGCUGACAUCUAAAGGCAGGCAGGGUGACACAAGACCUAGAGGGAGAGGUGGAAGAGGAAAGGCCAGAGGAAGGGGUAGAGGCAGAGGAAGAGGUAGGGGAAGAGGUAGAGGAAGGGGCAGAGGGAGGGGCAGGGCAGCGGCGCUUCAGUCAAGCAUGGUAGAUGAUGAGGACAACGAUGAUGAUGAUGAGGUGGUGCUUGGAUCCAUCCAGCCAUCUGAGCACCAGCUGCAGCAGUUGCAAGAAGAGGAAAAAGAAAAUGAUCCACACAGCCUUUCUGAAAUAGAGAUCUCAUCUGCUAUCUCUGACAUCACGCAAUCAAGCUCAGACUGCAUAAUCAUAGACACUGAUUUAGACCAGAUUACUGAUGUGACUCCUGGCCAGUAUGAUGAUGCACCAGAGGAGGAGGAGGAGGAGGAGAAAAAGACUACAAGAAUGUAG
RNAcentral lists this long non-coding RNA (1231 nucleotides) under Sander lucioperca (pikeperch). Its description in RNAcentral is "lncRNA (ENSSLUG00000003623.1)". The record is from RNAcentral. Lineage: Eukaryota; Metazoa; Chordata; Actinopteri; Perciformes; Percidae.